UCGCAGCCCAGCCUGAGCGGAGCUCUUUUUGUUUUUGCAAUUUCGAGGAACGAGGAUUGCAAUAACAAAAAAGCGGGAGCGGAGGAUAGAAAUAGC
RNAcentral lists this unclassified non-coding RNA (96 nucleotides) under Soonwooa buanensis. Its description in RNAcentral is "Flavo-1 RNA". Lineage: Bacteria; Pseudomonadati; Bacteroidota; Flavobacteriia; Flavobacteriales; Weeksellaceae. The record is from RNAcentral.